This 427-nucleotide ribosomal RNA is filed under the name uncultured bacterium. RNAcentral's name for it is "bacterial SSU rRNA". It matches the Rfam family "Bacterial small subunit ribosomal RNA", at positions 355 to 774 of the family's 1533-position model. The record is from RNAcentral.
UAGGGAAUAUUGGACAAUGGGGGCAACCCUGAUCCAGCCAUGCCGCGUGAGUGAAGAAGGCCCUCGGGUUGUAAAGCUCUUUUGUCCGGAAAGAAAGGCAUUCGGUGAAUACCCGGAUGUUCUGACGGUACCGGAAGAAUAAGCACCGGCUAACUUCGUGCCAGCAGCCGCGGUAAUACGAAGGGUGCAAGCGUUACUCGGAAUUACUGGGCGUAAAGCGUGCGUAGGUGGUUGUUUAAGUCUGAUGUGAAAGCCCUGGGCUCAACCUGGGAAUGGCAUUGGAAACUGGGCAGCUAGAGUGCGGUAGAGGGUAGUGGAAUUCCCGGUGUAGCAGUGAAAUGCGUAGAGAUCGGGAGGAACAUCUGUGGCGAAGGCGACUGCCUGGACCAGCACUGACACUGAGGCACGAAAGCGUGGGGAGCAAACA